GGGUCAGUAGGUUGGUCGUGCCACCGGUACGUACUGGUCUCACUGAUUCCUCCUUCCUGAAGAACUGUAAUGCCAUUAAUUUGGUGUUGCGGGGAAACAGGACUGUUACUUUGAAAAAAUUAGAGUGUUUAAGGCAAGCUAACGCUUGAAUACAUUAGCAUGGAAUAAUGAAAUAGGACGAUCGAUCCUAUUUUGUUGGUUUCUAGGAUUGACGUA
RNAcentral lists this ribosomal RNA (216 nucleotides) under Glomeromycotina sp. RNAcentral describes it as "partial small subunit ribosomal RNA". The stretch from base 40 to 216 matches the Rfam family "Eukaryotic small subunit ribosomal RNA", at positions 686 to 864 of the family's 1831-position model. Lineage: Eukaryota; Fungi; Glomeromycota. The record is from RNAcentral.